AUUGAACGCUGGCGGCAUGCCUUACACAUGCAAGUCGAACGGUAACAGGUCUUCGGAUGCUGACGAGUGGCGAACGGGUGAGUAAUACAUCGGAACGUGCCUAGUAGUGGGGGAUAACUACUCGAAAGAGUGGCUAAUACCGCAUGAGAUCUACGGAUGAAAGCAGGGGAUCGCAAGACCUUGUGCUACUAGAGCGGCCGAUGGCAGAUUAGGUAGUUGGUGGGAUAAAAGCUUACCAAGCCGACGAUCUGUAGCUGGUCUGAGAGGACGAUCAGCAACACUGGGACUGAGACACGGCCCAGACUCCUACGGGAGGCAGCAGUGGGGAAGUUUGGACAAUGGGCGCAAGCCUGAUCCAGCAAUGCCGCGUGCAGGAUGAAGGCCUUCGGGUUGUAAACUGCUUUUGUACGGAACGAAAAGCCCUGGGUUAAUACCCUGGGGUCAUGACGGUACCGUAAGAAUAAGCACCGGCUAACUACGUGCCAGCCGCCGCUGUAA
RNAcentral lists this ribosomal RNA (498 nucleotides) under uncultured bacterium. Its description in RNAcentral is "partial 16S ribosomal RNA". It matches the Rfam family "Bacterial small subunit ribosomal RNA", at positions 30 to 523 of the family's 1533-position model. The record is from RNAcentral.